AUAUCAAUAAGCGGAGGAAAAGAAACCAACAGGGAUUGCCUCAGUAACGGCGAGUGAAGCGGCAACAGCUCAAAUUUGAAAUCUGGAGCCUUCGGCUUCCGAGUUGUAAUUUGAAGAGGAUGUUUCGGUGCGACCUGGGCCUAAGUUCCUUGGAACAGGACGUCAUGGAGGGUGAGAAUCCCGUACAUGGCUGCAGGUUUGCUUCUAUGUGAAACUCCUUCGAAGAGUCGAGUUGUUUGGGAAUGCAGCUCAAAAUGGUGGUAAAUUCAUCUAAGCUAAAUAUGGCNGGGAGACCGAUAGCGCACAAGUAGAGUGAUCGAAAGAUGAAAAGCACUUGAAAAAGAGAGUUAAACAGUACGUGAAAUUGUUGAAAGGGAAGCGCUUGCAAUCAGACUCGCCUUCAGUUGAUCAGCCUUCCUUCUGGUUGGUGCACUCUGCUGUUGGCGGGCCAGCAUCAGUUGGGGCGGUGGGACAAAGGCGGCAGGAAUGUGGCUCGCUUCGGUGAGUGUUAUAGCCUGCUGCGUCAUGCCACCAGCCCCGAUUGAGGUCCGCGGUUCGCCUAGGAUGCUGGCUUAAUGGUUGUAAGCGA
This 589-nucleotide ribosomal RNA is filed under the name uncultured fungus. RNAcentral describes it as "eukaryotic LSU rRNA". It matches the Rfam family "Eukaryotic large subunit ribosomal RNA", at positions 40 to 647 of the family's 3401-position model. Lineage: Eukaryota; Fungi. The record is from RNAcentral.